GAUGAACGCUAGCGGCAGGCCUAAUACAUGCAAGUCGAACGGGCGGUAGCAAUACCGCUAGUGGCGCACGGGUGCGUAACGCGUAACCAACCUGCCCAGAUCUGGGGGAUAGCCCGCCGAAAGGCGGAUUAAUACCGCAUAAACCCACAGUGUGGCAUCACAUAAUGGGUAAAGAUUUAUCGGAUCUGGAUGGGGUUGCGUAGCAUUAGCUAGUUGGCGGGGUAAUGGCCCACCAAGGCGACGAUGCUUAGGGGACCUGAGAGGGUGAUCCCCCACACUGGCACUGAGAUACGGGCCAGACUCCUACGGGAGGCAGCAGUAGGGAAUAUUGGGCUAUGGGCGAGAGCCUGACCCAGCCAUGCCGCGUGCCGGAUGAAGGCCUUCUGGGUUGUAAACGGCUUUUCUCAGGGAAGAAAACGGGGAUGCGUCCUCAACUGACGGUACCUGAGGAAUAAGCACCGGCUAACUCCGUG
RNAcentral lists this ribosomal RNA (473 nucleotides) under uncultured bacterium. RNAcentral's name for it is "partial 16S ribosomal RNA". It matches the Rfam family "Bacterial small subunit ribosomal RNA", at positions 28 to 507 of the family's 1533-position model. The record is from RNAcentral.